UUUUUAGGCCGUUUUUACACCCAAAAAUAAAGGGUUUUAAGGCUUGUAUGCAAGAUGGCCCGUCGUAUGAACCUGAUACGUUGCAAGCGUUUAACAAGAACGAUAACAAACUUCGAGCUAAUCCAGAAUCUUUGCAACCGUCUGUGGUCGAUCGUGAUAUGCAGGCACCGUUCAAAACGAAACGGAUUAUACCACAGACGUCUGCGGUAUCAGCAAACAGGUGGACACAGAAAAUUUGUGGAGUAUGUAAAAAAAAAAAAAAAAAAAGAUGUAUUUUUCCUGCAUUUUAGUGUAAUACCAUUUAUUCUCGGUUACGUAGUUUAUUUGUUACGAGUUUUUAAAAAGUUUCACGGAAUUAUGAAUAAACCUGUGUUAUUCCCUCUCCUAUAAAUAAAAAACUUCUCGGAACA
Long non-coding RNA from Stegodyphus dumicola, 410 nucleotides. RefSeq lists it as uncharacterized. Lineage: Eukaryota; Metazoa; Arthropoda; Arachnida; Araneae; Eresidae. The record is from RefSeq and is a predicted model, not a curated record.